Molecule: long non-coding RNA, 596 nt
Organism: Salvelinus fontinalis (brook trout)
Lineage: Eukaryota; Metazoa; Chordata; Actinopteri; Salmoniformes; Salmonidae
Exons: 3
Source: RefSeq, a predicted model, not a curated record
ACAUGAACAUCAGACUAUUUUAUUAAAUGUAUUUUUGAAGCUGCUGUGAAGUGGAAGAAAAUGUUCAGCAACUACUGGGUUGGAAUCAACCCAAGAUGAUGAAUCCUGAAGAUGGGACAAAGUGACAAGGUGGCCUAGAGGAAGCCAGCUGUUUUCAACCCCUACCUUGCCCCAUUCUUCCAAGAGCUCACUGAGUUUGAAUGAAGACCUCUAGUGAGGGGUGAGAAGAGCUGACAAAUCAGAACUGAGGAUGAUUGUUAUGGAGCCCCAUGAGGAACACCUGAUGCUGCGCUGACUUCUCUAGCUGUUCUCCAGUCCAAACUGUCCCGUUGUGUGUUUCAGCGCCUCUAAACCCUGAAUAGUUGCUCUGAUGACCAUGGAUCUAGAAUUGUACCCAAUCUCCAUCUUGGGUACAAUUAACUUCAUCUUCCUCUCUCUCUUUGUCUCACUCUCUCCACCACACAAUAUAGUUUUUAAAUUAGUGUUGGAAUGAUGAUCUUAUUUGGUUACAUAUGUGUUAACAAUUCUUACUUAUAUUGUCAAUUCUGUUGUUGAUUUGUUAAUGUUUUUACCAAUUUGAAUAAAUGUAUUUUACU